GAUGAACGCUGGCGGUGUGCCUAAUACAUGCAAGUCGAGCGAACAGACGAGGAGCUUGCUCCUCUGAUGUUAGCGGCGGACGGGUGAGUAACACGUGGAUAACCUACCUAUAAGACUGGGAUAACUUCGGGAAACCGGAGCUAAUACCGGAUAACAUGUUGAACCGCAUGGUUCAACAGUGAAAGACGGUCUUGCUGUCACUUAUGGAUGGAUCCGCGCCGCAUUAGCUAGUUGGUAAGGUAACGGCUUACCAAGGCAACGAUGCGUAGCCGACCUGAGAGGGUGAUCGGCCACACUGGAACUGAGACACGGUCCAGACUCCUACGGGAGGCAGCAGUAGGGAAUCUUCCGCAAUGGGCGAAAGCCUGACGGAGCAACGCCGCGUGAGUGAAGAAGGUCUUCGGAUCGUAAAACUCUGUUAUUAGGGAAGAACAAAUGUGUAAGUAACUAUGCACGUCUUGACGGUACCUAAUCAGAAAGCCACGGCUAACUACGUG
This 497-nucleotide ribosomal RNA is filed under the name uncultured bacterium. Its description in RNAcentral is "partial 16S ribosomal RNA". It matches the Rfam family "Bacterial small subunit ribosomal RNA", at positions 28 to 507 of the family's 1533-position model. The record is from RNAcentral.